Molecule: unclassified non-coding RNA, 588 nt
Filed under: Hevea brasiliensis (rubber tree)
Lineage: Eukaryota; Viridiplantae; Streptophyta; Magnoliopsida; Malpighiales; Euphorbiaceae
Source: RNAcentral
GAAAGAAAAGUUUUAGAAGUUUUGAGGUAAAAAAUAGGAUUUUUGAAGAAUUCAAGGACCAAAAAGGAUAUUUUUAUUUUAAUGGGCAGCUGAGGGUCACAUGAUGAACUUCUCUAGUAGCUUAAAAAAAAAAAAGAAAUAAUUAAAUUACGAGCUUUUGAAUGAAAAAUUAACUUUUGAAGGGUUGAAUGACCAAAAUGAAAUUUGAUUUAAAAAGGCGGACAGCAGGUUGCACAUCCACGUGACUCCUCCAGCACGAUCUAUAAAAAAAAACAAUAAAUAAAAAAAGAAAAAGAAUAGAAAGAAGAUUCAGGAAAGAGGGAGAAAAGGGGGAAAAAAGGAAAAGAAAGAAAUAAAGAAAGAAAGAGGGAGAAGAAGAGAAUGGAAGAGGGAGGAAAGAUGGAUGGAUUUCUGGAGUUUUUCUAGCAAGAAAGAACACCAACAAAGGGGAAAAGAAGGAUUUUGGUCUAGGAUACAAGAAAUUAAAAAGAGAAAAGGGAGAAAGAAGGUGAAUAGUAGCAAAAGCAGGACUCUGCAAGGGUAGCAGCUCUCCCAUCCAUUCAAGAGGAGCUUUUGAAUAUGAAUUUA